UGGAGACAGUCCACCUCUUGUGGCUUUUAG
RNAcentral lists this non-coding RNA (30 nucleotides) under Mus musculus (house mouse). Lineage: Eukaryota; Metazoa; Chordata; Mammalia; Rodentia; Muridae. The record is from RNAcentral.